UUUUUUUUAAGACGAUUUAGAUUAAAAAUAGAAUAAAAAGAUUACAAACUACAAUAAAAAAAAGAAACAUAAUUAAAUAAACAAUUAAAAAAAUAAUAGGAUGUGUGGAAUAAAUAUAGUUUGUUAAUCCUCGACUUGUAAGUCAGUUAUCAAUAACGAGACUUCCUCCCACUUUCUGAUAGCUUUAUCUUCCAAACUUAACCUGUGCGUUUUUUUAAAUAGGCGGUAGUCAUAGAUGAUAGUCAAAUCUCGUAUGAAAUCCCUUGCGACGACUUUAACCGGCCGAGAGAGCCCCUCCUUAUGUCGUAGGUUCCUCUUCCUCCAAAGAUGUCAUAUAAAUAUUGCAAGUGCAUUCCAAUGUAAUCCCCAGCAUGGUGCUGACUUUCUAAAUUUGGAUAUCUCUUCCAUGAUAUCACCCACCAUUAUAUCUCCUUGAUUUAUCGCUGUGAUACCCAUAAUCUUCCAUAGAGCAUAAAUCUGUCAAACUUGUAAAUUCAUUCCAAAGAGUUCAGCUGAAAACGUAAUUGAAAAAUAGGUGGGUUGUUGUUUCUUCAGUUGCAUCACAAAUGACACACUUUGUUGGUACCAUUAUCCCUCAAUUUUUCAAUUUAUCGAAUGUUCUUAGCUUUCCCCACCUCAAUCUCCAUAAGCUGAAGACCAUCUUUGAGGUACUAUCAACUAAGUGAAUAGGAUUGCAUUAAGAUGAUUUGGAAGGUUUACCAAAUGAUCCUUAUUUAUAAUCACUCUGCCUAAUAGUGAUUAGCUAAUUAACUACUAACAAAUAAUUACCAACAGAUUGACUAAUUAAUAACUUGAUGGGAUGGCUUUCAAAAAAAAAACUUGAUGGGCUGCUAAAAACACAUGGCUGAGUGAUGUGUGGGCUUUGGUUAAUUGACCCAUCUAUAAUUAUCCUUUCUUCACCUGAAUAUUUGCAUGCAAGUCCCCCAAGUCUCUCCUAUUUAUUUGACAUGUCUUGGGACAAUUAUCUGUAUAAAUGAAAAACCAAAUUAAUUACAAUUAAGUCAUAAUCAAUUACAAUUAAUGAAAAGAGCGGCCCCAUUUAGUGUUGUUCAAUUGAAGUUCAAAUAUCGUUUUUUUAAAAUAUCAAAUUUUGAAUCGGAAAUGGGCAAUAUUCAGUUCCCACCUUUCUUCUCAUUUUCCCUCUUUUUGAGAUUUCAUGGCCGUCAUAUAACACCUCACACCUGCAAGAGCCAUGGAAGAGAGAACGAGAGUCGAGAGUCGAGAGUCGAGAGAUAGAAAGGAGGAGAGAUCGCCUUCUGUACCUGCGCAUCAAACCCUUAUCACCUCCGGUUUCUUCUCAAGUAUGUUUACUCUUUCUAUUU
This 1343-nucleotide long non-coding RNA is filed under the name Zostera marina. RNAcentral describes it as "long non-coding RNA (ZMAR_LNC003277)". Lineage: Eukaryota; Viridiplantae; Streptophyta; Magnoliopsida; Alismatales; Zosteraceae. The record is from RNAcentral.